UACAGAGGUCCCAAGCGUUGUUCGGAUUCAUUGGGCGUAAAGGGUGCGUAGGCGGCGCGGUAAGUCGGGUGUGAAAUCUCGGGGCUUAACUCCGAAACUGCAUUCGAUACUGCCGUGCUUGAGGACUGGAGAGGAGACUGGAAUUUACGGUGUAGCGGUGAAAUGCGCAGAUAUCGUAAGGAAGACCAGUGGCGAAGGCGGGUCUCUGGACAGUUCCUGACGCUGAGGCACGAAGGCCAGGGGAGCAAACGGG
RNAcentral lists this ribosomal RNA (253 nucleotides) under uncultured bacterium. RNAcentral describes it as "partial 16S ribosomal RNA". It matches the Rfam family "Bacterial small subunit ribosomal RNA", at positions 524 to 776 of the family's 1533-position model. The record is from RNAcentral.